This is a long non-coding RNA of Dipodomys ordii (Ord's kangaroo rat), 1390 nucleotides long. RefSeq lists it as uncharacterized. The record is from RefSeq and is a predicted model, not a curated record. The transcript is spliced from 3 exons. Lineage: Eukaryota; Metazoa; Chordata; Mammalia; Rodentia; Heteromyidae.
UGUAUCUCCAGAAGCUGACUCCCAGACCCCUUCUGGACCACGGAAUGCAUGCGUGGAAAACCCUAUCACCUCUUAAGAUGCUCCUGACCGUGCUUCCAGUUGCCUGUGUACUGACCAGUCAGAUCACCCAGUGGCCUUGUCAAGUAGUGUCAAAUUGCCUGCUCAACAGAAACAUUAAGACCAGCUGUCACAGGUUGUCUUUAUCACACCUACAGAGAUGCCCUUCUAGAAGAAGCCCUUCUGUGUUUGUUCAGAUACUCAGAGAUGAAGUGUGUCCUCACUCUCUUUCUGGAUUUCCAAGUGGUCCCUUUCAACAUAUUACCUUUUCUCUCUUCAGACCUGUUGCCUCAGGUCACAAAAUGGCUGCAACAGUGCCAUGAAGCUGCUAUGAGAACAGGAGCUCUGGGUUUCCGUUGAUUUGUCGGCCACAGUCAUCAUCCAUCAAGGGACAUUUUCAUCAAUCCAGGUCACCAACAGUGAAGAAAAUGACAGAUGUCCUGACUUCAAGUGAUUUUCUUUCUAGAGGAGAGAGACAGAAGCCCAAAGGGAUAAAGAAAAUGGAUUAUCAAUGUUGACAACUCUGAUGUUUUAAAUGUAUAUCACGAAGAAGACUCCAACAGAAGCAGCAGAAUAUGUCUGUCCAGGCCACAAGAAAACAAGCCUAAAAGCAUGCAUGUGGUUCUACACAGUCAUAGAAGAGCCUUGGACUCUCUCCAACCAUGAGAAAGGACCAAAGAAAUCCAAAGUGAAGAAGAAUCUUCAACAUCAUGAAAGACAAAGGAAACCCAAAGAACUGUUACAGGUUCAAGGAGGAAACUUAAAGAGAGAAAUACUGAAUUCAACACCAAGUACUAAAUAGGAUCCUGAAACAGAAGGACAUUGGUAGAAAGACUAAUAAAAUACAAAGUCUGUUAUAAGGGGUCUUAGUUUGGGUCGUUAUAAAGUUACCUUACAUAUUAGUCUUGACCUUAACAGGCAUGUUUUUCUCACUACAUUAUUAAGCUUGGUGUUUGCCAUAGUUUUAGUUGAUGGAUGACACUUAAGUUAAAGAAAUUUUUGUCUAUAGUUAGUUGACUAAGAGCUUUGCAUAAUGAAUGCACACUGAAUUGUUAGUAAAUCUUUUUUUCUGUAUUGACUAGAACAAUUGUAUACUUUUCAUCUUUUGGUGUCUUAAUAAUUCACCCAUCCAUAAUUUAUAUUAUUGGUUUCCUAGAAUUCAAACAAUCUUAUAUUCUCAAAGUAUCCUAGGUGGACCAUCAUGCAUUCAUUGCAUUUUUAGUUCUUUGCUGAAUUUGUAUUAAUGAUAUUUCUCUAGGACAUUUGUAUCUCUUUUAAUGAGUAGGAUUGAAAUAUAAUUUACUUUACUUAUUCUCCCUUUGUAAGAUUUUUU